GAUAAGAUAUGUAGAGCAGAAGGUGGAUGCCUUGGCAACGGACGGCGAUGAAGGACGUAGUAAGUUGCGAUAAGCCUCGGGGAGUCGCUUAACAGGCUUUGAUCCGGGGAUUUCCGAAUGGGAAAACCUGACCGAGCAAACCUUGGUCAUGCCAUUGUGAAUAUAUAGCAAUGGUAGGCUAACGGGGGGAAGUGAAACAUCUCAGUACCCCCAGGAAAAGAAAUCAACCGAGAUUCCCCUAGUAGCGGCGAGCGAACGGGGAACAGCCUAAACCGAAGAGAUUUUCUCUUCGGGGUUGCGGGACCUCAGCAUGGGACUUUGAAGGGUAGCAGAACAGUCUGGAAAGUCUUGCCACAGAAGGUGAUAGCCCUGUAUGCGAAACCCCGAGAAGCCCUAGAGGGAUCCCAAGUACUCCGGCACACGUGGAAUGUUGGAGGAAUCUGGGUGGACCACCAUCCAAGGCUAAAUACGUGCCGUUGACCGAUAGUGAACCAGUACCGUGAGGGAAAGGUGAAAAGAACCCCAAUGAGGGGAGUGAAAUAGAAUCUGAAACCAUCUGCUUGUAACCAGUGGAAGGGCUAUGUCCAUUUAUGGAAAUGCCUGACCGCGUGCCUUUUGCCUAAUGAGCCUGCGAGUUAUCUUCAGUGGCCUGAUUAAGCCGUACAGGUGUAGUCGUAGCGAAAGCGAGUCUGAAUAGGGCGCCAGUCACUGGGGAUAGACCCGAAGCGAAUCGAUCUAUCCAUGGCCAGGGUGAAGCAGAGAGAAAACCUUUGUGGAGGCCCGAACCGGUCAGGGGUGAAAACCUGUCGGAUGAGCUGUGGAUCGGAGUGAAAGGCUAAUCAAGAUUCGUGAUAGCUGGUUCUCCCCGAAAUAUAUUUAGGUAUAGCCUUGUGUGAUGACUAGCGGAGGUAGAGCACUGAUUGGACUAGGGGGUCGAAAGAUCUACCAAACCCAGACAAACUCCGAAUGCCGCUAGGUUAGCACAGGAGUCAGUCGGUGGGAGAUAAGUCCCAUCGGCGAAAGGGAAACAGCCCAGACCGCCGGCUAAGGCCCCUAAAUACGAACUAAGUGGUAAAGGAUGUGAAUUGGCAUAGACAGCCAGUAGGUAGGCCCAGAAGCAGCCACCCUUUAAAGAGUGCGUAACAGCUCACUGGUCGAUGCGGAUUUGCGCCGAAAAUGAAACGGGGCUAAGUUCGUUGCCGAAGCCGCGGGUUGCGUAUUUAUACGCAGCGGUAGGGGAGCGUUCCCAACGGGUCGAAGGGUUACCGUAAGGAAGCCUGGACUGUUGGGAAGUGAGAAUGCAGGCAUGAGUAGCGAUAAAGGUGGUGAGAAUCCACCUCGCCGUAAACCCAAGGUUUCCUGGGCAAGGCUCGUCCUCCCAGGGUAAGUCGGGACCUAAGGCGAGGCCGAAAGGCGUAGUCGAUGGAAAACGGGUUAAUAUUCCCGUACCAUUCGGUCUGAGUGAUGGAGUGACGGAGAAGGAUAGGUCAUCCGGGUGAUGGAUAUCCCGGUUCAAGCUUGUAGGAGGAAAGGACAAGCAAAACCUCCUUUCAUACUCUGAGAAGCGAGUACGAGAGGCAUUAGCCUCGUAAAGUGAUUGAGUCCAUGCUUCCAAGAAAAGCUUCUAAACGUUGACGACCGAGUGCCCGUACCGAAACGGACACACGUGGGUGAGUUGAGAAUACUAAGGCGCGUGAGAGAACUUUGGCUAAGGAACUCGGCAAAUUAACCCCGUAACUUCGGAAUAAGGGGUACCCAUAUGUACGUGAAAGCCCUCGCGGCUGGAGCGGAAAUGGGUCGCAGUGAAUUGGCGGUAACGACUGUUUACUAAAAACACAGGGCUCUGCAAACACGCAAGUGGACGUAUAGGGUCUGACUCCUGCCCAGUGCCGGACGGUUAAGGGGAUGGGUUAUCUUCGGAGAAGCUCAGAACCGAAGCCCCGGUAAACGGCGGCCGUAACUAUAACGGUCCUAAGGUAGCGAAAUUCCUUGUCGGGUAAGUUCCGACCUGCAUGAAAGGAGUAACGAUUGCCGCACUGUCUCGGCCAAAGACUCAGCGAAAUUGUGGUUCCGGUGAAGACGCCGGAUACCCGCUACGGGACGGAAAGACCCCGUGCACCUUUACUAUAACUUAGCAUUGAGUUUUGGUGCUGCAUGCGUAGGAUAGGUGGGAGCCUGUGAAACUUCGCUUCAGGGCGGAGUGGAGGCAAUGGUGAAAUACCACCCUUGUAGUUCUGGAAUUCUAACUUAGGUCCGUUAUCCGGAUCAAGGACAAUGUUAGGCGGGUAGUUUGACUGGGGCGGUCGCCUCCUAAAAGGUAACGGAGGUGUGCAAAGGUUCCCUCAGCUUGAUUGGAAACCAAGCGCAGAGUGCAAAGGCAUAAGGGAGCUUGACUGUGAGACUGACAGGUCGAGCAGGUGCGAAAGCAGGUCUUAGUGACCCGGUGGUUCUGUGUGGAAAGGCCAUCGAUCAACGGAUAAAAGGUACGCCGGGGAUAACAGACUUAUCUCCCCCAAGAGUUCACAUCGACGGGGAGGUUUGGUACCUCGAUGUCGGCUCAUCGCAUCCUGGGGCUGGAGAAGGUCCCAAGGGUUGGGCUGUUCGCCCAUUAAAGCGGUACGCGAGCUGGGUUCA
This 2634-nucleotide ribosomal RNA is filed under the name Chloroflexota bacterium. RNAcentral's name for it is "Chloroflexi bacterium partial 23S ribosomal RNA". It matches the Rfam family "Bacterial large subunit ribosomal RNA", at positions 1 to 2613 of the family's 2925-position model. The record is from RNAcentral. Lineage: Bacteria; Bacillati; Chloroflexota.